UGGGGAACUGAAACAUCUAAGUACCCAUAGGAAGAGAAAAUAACAAUGAUUCCGCAAGUAGUGGCGAGCGAACGCGGAAGAGCCCAAACCGCAGGCGUAGCAAUGCGCCGUGCGGGGUUAUAGGACCGGCGCCACGAAGAACUGAAAGCUAGCCGAACCGACUGGAAAGUCGGGCCGCAGCGGGUGACAGCCCCGUAGGCGAAAGCGUUCAGCGAUUCCAGCCGGCACCUGAGUAACCCGGAGCACGAGGAAUUCCGGGCGAAUUACCGGGGACCAUCCCGUAAGGCUAAAUACUAACGAGAGACCGAUAGCGAACCAGUACCGUGAGGGAAAGGUGAAAAGAACCUCGAACAGAGGAGUGCAACAGACCCUGAAACCAUAUGCCUACAAGCGGUCGGAGCGGCUCAGUGCCGUGACGGCGUGCCUUUUGCAUAAUGAACCUACGAGUCACCGUCGUUGGCAAGGUUAAGGACAAUGAUGUCCGGAGCCGAAGCGAAAGCGAGUCCGAAGAGGGCGCCGGAGUCAGCGGAGGUGGACGCGAAACCAAGUGAUCUACCCUUGGGCAGGUUGAAGGACAGGUAAAACUGUCUGGAGGACCGAACCGGUAAGCGUUGAAAAGCUUUCGGAUGACCUGAGGGUAGGA
This 643-nucleotide non-coding RNA is filed under the name Prevotella sp. CAG:279. RNAcentral's name for it is "Bacterial large subunit ribosomal RNA". It matches the Rfam family "Bacterial large subunit ribosomal RNA", at positions 186 to 820 of the family's 2925-position model. The record is from Rfam by way of RNAcentral. Lineage: Bacteria; Pseudomonadati; Bacteroidota; Bacteroidia; Bacteroidales; Prevotellaceae.